This 429-nucleotide ribosomal RNA is filed under the name Chloroflexota bacterium. RNAcentral describes it as "Chloroflexi bacterium partial 16S ribosomal RNA". It matches the Rfam family "Bacterial small subunit ribosomal RNA", at positions 355 to 776 of the family's 1533-position model. The record is from RNAcentral. Lineage: Bacteria; Bacillati; Chloroflexota.
UGGGGAAUAUUGCACAAUGGGCGCAAGCCUGAUGCAGCCAUGCCGCGUGUAUGAAGAAGGCCUUCGGGUUGUAAAGUACUUUCAGUCGGGAGGAAGGUGGUAAGGUUAAUAACCUUGUCAAUUGACGUUACCGACAGAAGAAGCACCGGCUAACUCCGUGCCAGCAGCCGCGGUAAUACGGAGGGUGCAAGCGUUAAUCGGAAUUACUGGGCGUAAAGCGCACGCAGGCGGUUGAUUGAGUCAGAUGUGAAAUCCCCGGGCUUAACCCGGGAAUUGCAUCUGAUACUGGUCAGCUAGAGUCUUGUAGAGGGGGGUAGAAUUCCAUGUGUAGCGGUGAAAUGCGUAGAGAUGUGGAGGAAUACCGGUGGCGAAGGCGGCCCCCUGGACAAAGACUGACGCUCAGGUGCGAAAGCGUGGGGAGCAAACAGG